This is a long non-coding RNA of Leopardus geoffroyi (Geoffroy's cat), 1639 nucleotides long. RefSeq lists it as uncharacterized. Lineage: Eukaryota; Metazoa; Chordata; Mammalia; Carnivora; Felidae. The record is from RefSeq and is a predicted model, not a curated record. The transcript is spliced from 2 exons.
CCUCCAAAGACGGCCGCGUAGCUGCUGGCGCGUGGGUUGCGGGUCGGAGUGAGGAUCCCAGGCAGCGGGAGUCCGGAAUCGCCCCCGGGAAAGAGCUAACCCGCUGGUAAUCCAUGAGGUUGACCUGCAGAUGGCAAUGAGUCCUGAGCCAAAUAUUCAAGAGCCUAUUGUGUACAAGGCACUGGUGACAGAGUGACAGAAGCCACAUCAGGAACACAGACAGCUUUAUCCUCAAACACUAUGUCUGACGGUCAGAAUGCACAUGAACAUAUUGAAGGCUCUGAGAAGUCCUGCAAUACCUCUAUCUCACUUUCUCGAAGUCGGUAUUUCCUGAAUUGAUUGGGUCAUAGAGACUUUGGGUUCUGGUUUUUGAGGCUCUUCAGCCCUCGGUGACAGUGUUCAUCAGGCAAAAGGUAGAGUAGCAUUUCCCCGCCCCUAUCCAUGUGACUUGCUUUGGUCCACAGGUUGAAGGCCAAAGGGAUAGUUCUCACUUCUGGAUGACAACGUUUGAGCACCAUAUUCCUUUCCCACUGUCGCUGCAAUCAGUGACCCUCCAGAUGGGGGGACAGUUUCAGGCUAGGCCAGCCAAGUCUGAUGGGUAUGCAGUAUAAGAAAUCAACCUUCUGGGGGAAUCUUUGUUAAAGGCCACCUAACCCAGACUAACCUAACUGAUCAAAUCCCUUAGUGAUACCCGCAAGGACACCAGCUUUUGAGUAACUUGGUUCACGAAGUAUAGACCUGGCCCCGUGAGUAGUCGAAAUGCAGUUUAGUGACUACACUGGCUCCCUUAAUAAAAUGAAACCUCAAAUCUCAGAGGUCAUGAGGAAGGGACACUGGGUCUUCCCACAGAUGCCCAUAGAGGUCACUCACCUCUUAGCUUGGAACACGACUGUUAGGAUCCGGGCAGGCAGCCAGAGGGGAGCAGGCUCUGACCUGGAUCCAGGCUACCCCCGAGGUCAGGGGAGGUGAGCCUUGGUGCUUCGCGGGAGCGUGUGGCCCCACACAGCACCCGCUGGGCAUGGGCUCCAGUGAGUAGGCUCAGGACAAGAGGCUGGGUUCCAUAGUCCAGCAAGAUUGGGACCAACUGGAGGGGGCGGGGGAGAAGGGGUUCAAGGAGUCUCUGGUGCCCAGCUCAGGUGACUUGGAAUCUGACAGGCACAGGGCAGUUGUGCACUGGAGGGUUAUACUGGUGAGUAGCCGAGGAAUGGCCAGUGGAGGUGGCCAGGUGGCCUCAGAGACAGGGGGGGGGGGGUUCCUCAAGGUGAGGCCCCCAGAUGCAGCUGUGAACUCUCAGUACAGCAGGCAAGGCUGAACCUUGGGGACAAGCCCAGCACUCAGGACAGUCUGGGGUCCCAGAAGGAGAGGGACUCUAGGGGAGGGUCUGGGCCAGUGUCUAGGAUAGGGUCCAUGUGGAGACCCCCUGGCUGGCGGGGCCAUAAACCUGGGGGAGGGGGGGCAUUUGAAGGGGCUCAAGGGAAGAAAACGAAAGCAGGGCUUCUGGGAAAGGACGCAGACCCGACGGAAAACGUUUCAACAUCACAUUUAUUAGGAGAUCUUUUCCAGUGGAAGUGAGAAGUAUUUACCAUAGAAAUUUGCAAAACACAAGUGCAACAAAUAAACUACGAUUACAGAUAACAGC